RNAcentral lists this small nuclear RNA (104 nucleotides) under Pongo abelii (Sumatran orangutan). Lineage: Eukaryota; Metazoa; Chordata; Mammalia; Primates; Hominidae. The record is from RNAcentral.
GUGCUCGCUUCGGCAGCACAUACAUUAAAACUGGAACAACACAGAGAUUAGCAUGGCUUCUGUGCAGGGAUGACAUGCAAAUUUGUGAAGAGCUCUUUCAGGUA